CUAUUUAUAAACUUGACAUGCCCGUGAAUGAUGUUACUACAAUUAUUAUAGGCACAUAUGUUUGAGCUUCCUGCACCAAUAACCAACAAGUGAGGCUAGAUGGGAGCUGCUUGGCUUGGCGUCGGGUUGCAGGCAAUCCUAGUGAUGUUUCUGUUAAUGUCGCCACCAUUUCUGCCCUGUGCGCUCGCCGCUGGCUGCAGUAGCGAAGGCAAGUCCGGCGACCAAGUGGUCGGCAUAGUCAGGGAGAUGCAAGAAGGCCAUGAUUUUUUUGCUUCAAGCAAAUCAACAUGGUCUCGUCGAAUUCUUAAUGCGGGUGAAGAUGGGAGACACAAUCCUCCCUUCUCCCCGGGACACAAGUAGCACAAAUGGAGAUAAAUGCCGGGGCUCAAUUGAGAACCCCACCAUAUUUGUAGAAUUUCAUGCGUGGUGGUGAUGGAGUCGUGGAUAACUAUUAUCAGGAUUAAAAAUCUUGAUAUCCAUAAAUAUAAUGGUUCACAAUAUUAAUACAACAAAUAUAAAAUUAACUAAUCCAAAAUAAAAAUAUUAGGUGAACGGUAGUUCAAAAUGAGAUUUUAGUAAUAAAAUCCAAUCCAAAAUGCAAUUUGCUCAUAACAGAGUGAUGUGUAUUGGUCAGUUCAUGUAUUUGUUCUGUUGUUAUGUGUACUUCCCUCAGAAUUUCAAAUGUCAAUAAUGAAACCAGCUGCUUUGCCUAGUAGUAUUGGUUCCAUCCUUUGCACCACCUAUAAGUCCUGCCAAAUUUUCUUCCUAAUUUUUCUCGCUGAAGGUUAAUUUUUUGUGCUAAAGUUUUCAAGGUUUGUCAAUCUUCAUUCUGAUGUUAUGUUGACUAAAUUUAUUAAUGAGAAUCCUAGAUAUCUAUGCAAGAAUUAAUCAUGUGCAUUGGUCACUUCUCUUGAAAUUCAAAUGAAGAAACGGUCUUGCUGUGACGCUGACUAUAAGAAGGCAUAUGAAAGUGAAACGAAACUUGUAAAUUUCUCAGUCUGAAAGCUGAGUAUAUCUGUGCAAUCCAUGAGAAAGAUGAAUUUGCUGAACAUGUGUCCUUUUCUCUUUUUGUAAAGGGCAGAUACCUCCUCCUAUUAUAAAGAAAGCAAACGCAAGAUUUCGUAAAAUUUCAAGAUUAAUGUCAAUUUUUCAGCUGAAACUGUCUUUUGCUGUUGAUCAUUUCAAAGACACUGACUAGCAGCCAUGAUUGACGUAGGUGAUGAUUAGGAAACAAUAUUCUGCUAUUUGUGCCGCAAGGUUGUUAUUGACUUACAGUCGAGCAAUGGUCAGUGGAGUCUUGUUGCGACUUUGAAGGCAUGAUUGUAACUUUUUGAAAUGACAUAUAGUAUGCCAGUUUAACAUAAACCGGUAACUGGCUGUGUUUAGUUCACAUCAAAAUUGAAAGUUUGGUUGAAAUUAGAACAAUGUGAUGGAAAAGUUGAAAGUUUAUGUGUGUAGGAAAGUUUUGAUGUGAUGGAAAAGUUGAAAGUUUGAAGAAUUUAUUUUGGAACUAAACCUGAGUGUACAUCCGUAGCUUGAUUACACGGACAGGCAGUUGUGUGUACAUCCUGACUUGUUCUCAGAAAAAAAAAAUGGAGAGAGGCCAGUAGGCCCUGCCUCAGUUGGAAACUUAUAAUCUACGUGUGAUUUUACUGUACUUAAAAAUAUCGGGAUAUCAUAUUUUAUUAAUGUAAAAUUUAGUACAUCUAACACGAGUACUAGAAAAUACUAAAAUUUUCACUGAAAAAAUUGAUACCUCUCGAUGUCUUGUCUGUGAAGGUCAAUGAAAAGAUCGAUAGGCUCUGCAUAAUAUUUUUCUUCUUGUUCUAUUCUGUUUGGCACGUACGUACACAUCCCAAUUCCACCAAACUCUCUGUGGAUUUAUAAAUACCCUGCAAAUUAAGAGCAAGUAAUUUGGACAUCCGAGACACACAGAUUGGGAGCCAAAACAUCUCAAAGAAUAUUUCCAAAGCGAUCGACCAUGGGAGGAGCUUCUCGGAUUCGCGUCGAGUUGCAAGCAAUCCUAGUGAUGUUCCUCUUGCUUCCGUUGCCGUUUCUGCCCAGGGUGUUCGCCGCCGGCAGCUCAGGCGGCAACUCCGGCGAGCUAGUGGCCGGCGGCCGGGAGACUCGUAGGAAGCCACCGGCAAUAAGGUCUCCUCGGUUUCUGUCUGGUGGAGUUCCUGCGAACCCUGGAGGUGGGCACGAUCCUCCUGUUAGCAAUGGAAGGAGAGGCCGUUGAUGAGAGAAUCAGAUCCAAAGUUCCAAACCCCAUAUUGUCGAAAACCAGAAUACUUUUAUCUUUUGACACAACUGUAAUAAUACUUGAAUAUAGUGAAACUCUUCACUGAGGAGCAUACUCCUAUCAUUUUCUUUCGCAUGCACGACUUAAUCUGAUUUGGAAUUACGUUUUAGGAGGACCAGAUGGGGGACACUACCCUCCUUGUUGCUAGGAAUUUGAGCAGAGCUAGGAACAAAGUCUCUCUAUCGGCCAAGGAAGUAGGUGUGGGUUGGUAGAGUCUUAGGACAUAAACUCUAUCCAUUAAGGUUUAUUUUUAAAAAAGAAUAAUGGGAUAUAAAUCCCAGCCUUUGCAUCAGAUUUAAAUCUCAGGAACCACAAUUGUGUGCAUAUGGAUACUUAAAUGACUUUAUUGGGGUUUAUAAAUUUAUGGUUAUAUAAGGUUUAUAGAUUUAUAGUAGGACGUCUACUUCAAAAGUAUGUGUCAAAUAUCAUGUACUCUCACAUGUGUAUAAGCGUGAUGUGCAUGCGCAUAUAUUUUUCACUCGAUGAAAAUAAAGGAGACCAACCCCCACUCCCCAAGAAAAAAAAAGUUCACUUCUGUAUAAAGAACAUUGUAUUGUGUAUAUCAUGAUAUGUUUAGUUGCCAUACUUAAGUUUUCUUCGUAUUUAUUCUGCGAAACAUGCUGGUUGUCAGUCAACCACUAGAUAAAAAGCGAAAAUCCUUUGACUCGGGCGCCCGAUGAGAGGGGAAAAUAUCGGGUGCCCUUCCGCUUCCGCAUCGCCUCGCCUCCCCUCCCCUACCUCUCUCGCCCGUGCCGCCUCCUCUUCCACGUGCUCCCUCGCCUGCGCCACCUCCUCUGCCGGAUUCGUGCGUGCCUUAAAAUAUCAUAAAACCUCCAUUGAAAAAAAUCAAUUCUAAAACUUUUAGUUGUUUGUUCCUAGCGACUUAAAAUCCAAUUCUAAAAAUAUAUAAACCUACAUUGAAAAUAUCAUAAAACCAACUCAAAAAUUCAAUUUUACAAUCUAAAUUUUGGCAAUAGCUGAUUCUAUAUUAGUGCAAACGAUCGAUGAGGCUGAUAGCAGUCGUAGUAGUAAAUGCUUGACUUGGUUUUCUGUUUUCCUUCAUUUUGCACCUUACUUCGAUAUGGCGUCUUCCUGCGUUAUGGAGAACAAUAGUACUACCCCUAAUCCCAAAAUAAAUGUAAUUCUAUGAGUCCACGGCGUGAAAUUAAUAUGAUAUCGACGCUUGUUGAAAGUUGAAACCUUCCAAAUUAAGCAAUUAGUACGUAGUGUCCACCUUCUUUGUCGCGUUAAAUUUCUACUCCGAAUGGAUCUUAUGUUCUCUGGUUCUUGCGUACAUACACACCAGGUAUCCGUAGUCAAAUGCCUGAAUUUCCAAUCAACCAACUAAUUUCAACAGCUCUAUUAAUUUAUCAUAUUGACUCAACAACUUUUCUUUGGUAAUUUAAAUAGUCUGAAAGGAGCAAUGCUAUUUGGACAAGCGGUAGCCAAACACCUGUAAACUUGUUUUUGUACAAAUCACCCCCAGUUUGUCUUUCUGAAGAAGCGUUAAUUUUGAGGCCAUCGAGUUAAUUAUUGUGAGCCACCAUGGGAGCUGCUCGGCUUUGCGUUGGGUUGCAGGCAAUCCUAGUGAUGUCCCUCUUGCUGCCGCCGCCGUUUCUGCCAUGCGUGCUCGCCGGCGCUGGCCCUGGAGGCGAGCUCGUCGCCGGCGAGGAGAAGCAUCAAGGCCGUGUAUUUGCUUCAGGCAUAUCAACACGGUCUCUUCGAAUUCUAUCUCAAAAUCCAGGUCCCGGCGGUGAACACCAUCCUCCUAUCUCUUCCGGACGCGGCAACAAUGGAUAAAGGCUAGACAAUGGAUCUAUGAGAGUACCCAAGAACCGAUUAGAACUAAGCAGGCCGAUCCAGGUGUUAGAACUACGUUUAGGAAUAAGAGUAAAAAUACGAAUUAUCAAGAUAAAAUAAAGCUCUCCAGAUAUAAUUCUGGAGGUUAGGUUUACUAACUUGUAAUACAAGUUUCCAUACUCUAUUGGCGUGUUCGGCUGUCUUUAUUUGCACCGUGCCACCGUGUUGCAGUACAGUACUUUUAUGUGUGCAAAGCACAACCGAACAUGUCCUAUAUAUAUAUUUAGAAAUGGAUGGGGUAUAUCCUAUGAGAUAGUUAUUAUACUUUUUUUAGAUAAUGGAAUAGAAUAUCCCAGCCUUUGCUCAA
This is an RNA transcript of Oryza sativa Japonica Group (Japanese rice), 4469 nucleotides long. RefSeq lists it as uncharacterized. NCBI's taxonomy places the organism in Eukaryota, Viridiplantae, Streptophyta, Magnoliopsida, Poales, Poaceae. The record is from RefSeq and is a predicted model, not a curated record.